Molecule: transfer RNA, 67 nt
Filed under: Ictidomys tridecemlineatus (thirteen-lined ground squirrel)
Lineage: Eukaryota; Metazoa; Chordata; Mammalia; Rodentia; Sciuridae
Description: Spermophilus tridecemlineatus (thirteen-lined ground squirrel) tRNA
Rfam family: tRNA
About the family: Transfer RNA (tRNA) molecules are approximately 80 nucleotides in length. Their secondary structure includes four short double-helical elements and three loops (D, anti-codon, and T loops).
Source: Rfam by way of RNAcentral
GGGGUUGUGGCUCAGUGGUAGAGCACUCGCCUAGCACGCGAGGCACUGGGUUCAAUCCUCAGCACCA